Molecule: long non-coding RNA, 219 nt
Filed under: Homo sapiens (human)
Lineage: Eukaryota; Metazoa; Chordata; Mammalia; Primates; Hominidae
Description: HSALNT0030864
Source: RNAcentral
UUGACUCCCCUCACUGCUUCUCUGAUAACAAUCUGGCACUUUAUCAGCAGGGUCUUUUAUCUGGAAGGAUUCACUGUGUUCUGCUGCUUGGAACUAUUCUGGGAGGGCACAAAGACAAGCUUUCAUCUUAGAAAGGAAAUGGAACUACAUCUAGAAGGGGUAAGAAAGAGUUAAAGCUGUAAAAAGAACUCCAAGUCUUUCCCUGCCAGAAAGGAGAGG